UUUCUUUUUCUCUUCACUACGCCAAGAAAACCGUUCACCUCCAUAACUCCAUCUUAAUUCCGGUUCCAAUUCCGACGAUUCAAUCGUAGAGAAGGACGAUCGGCUAUGCUUGAUGGGAAGUUCCUGCUUGAUGUGAGGGCAGUCGCAAUUCUGAUGGGGAAGCUAAGAGAGGAGAGGACGGGGUCCACAGCAGAGAGUCGUUCAUCGUAGUCGGUCGUGGCGGCGUAGCGUUGAGCCACGAGAGUCUUCGAUUCAAGAAGAUAGCGAAGGAGUCAAGCGCAAUGGAAGACCUCGUAUCCUUUCUCGUGCUUGAACUGAACAAACUCCUUUUUACUCUUAACUUCUUUUCUAAUCCGUCGAAAUCCCCCAAGGUCUGAUAAAUCUUCUCACUCAAGUAAUUUUAAAUUAUGUUAAUGUGGCUUUUUGGAUUUAGUUUGAUGAAUUUCCUUUUGUUGUCUGUGUGGAUCAGAAGCAACAUGAAAUGGAUUGAAGACAGCGCUUACUACCAGAGCUUUGAAAAAAGAUCCAAACUUUUACACCCAUUGACUCGUACAAUUAGUUUUAGAAAGAUGGAGUGGUAUUCGUAUUAAGAGAGAUACUAGAAUAGGGAACAGAGGCAUCCCAUGUAACAAGAAAGUUUGCUUACAGAACAACAAAACCAGAGAUGCAUCUUUCUCUUUAUUUUGUUUUGUUUCAGGCCUCAAUGCGUGGGAAAAGCAGGGAGACGAAAGCAAACAUGAGGAUCAAAGAGGCUUUACCGGGUUGCGACGAGUGUGUUGUUACUAUAUAUUCAACUAGCGAGGAGACGAAUUGUAUUGGAGAUGAUGGAGAGUUUGUUUGUACAAGAGAACGUCAUCGAAAGAUUAUUCUCCAAUGGUUGAUGUCGAAGGUAACUCAGAUCUUUUACUGGAUAUUGACGUGAACAAUGAAACGGAAACAACAAAUUCUCAAAUCUCAAUGUUCUGCUCUCUCCCACACGUCCUUGUGGCCACAGAAGUCUAGUUGUUAAUGGGCCCCUUGAAAGCAUUUCUUCUGAUCUUGCUUUAGAUACAUUAGCUGAAGGUGGAACUCUGUGCAUAAGUAGUUUGGAGGGGAUGUGAUAGAGAAUGAUUUUGUGGGCAAUGGCAGUUUUCUUAUGCUUUUUAUUUGUAUUUUGAAUGUGUAAAAUUUAAUAUUUUGGUUUUUUAAAGUUUUACGAGAUUGA
Long non-coding RNA from Brassica oleracea var. oleracea, 1204 nucleotides. RefSeq lists it as uncharacterized. The transcript has 3 exons. Lineage: Eukaryota; Viridiplantae; Streptophyta; Magnoliopsida; Brassicales; Brassicaceae. The record is from RefSeq and is a predicted model, not a curated record.